AGUACUAGGACUGUCAAUGGGCCGAACACAAGCAAGCUGGUGUCAUCUCGCGUUCGCUUGUUUAUUAAACAAGCUAACCACGGCUUGGUUCGUUAAAGUAUCGAGUUGAAAAAUUCAAUUCAUAUUCAGCUUAUUUAUUAAUAAGCCGAACACGAGCUCCCUAACUCGUGUUCGAUUCUUUAAGAUUUGAGCUGAAAAAGUUAAUUCGUGUUUAACUUGUUUAUUAACUGAGCGAUUGAUUUCAAACUCAUUUCAAGUCGAAUGCGAGCUGUUUGGUAAACAACGAGCUGGAUUGCCAGUUCUUUUAAGUACUGUCGCAAAUACAAGAAAAAAAAAAUAGAAUGCAUCAGUUAUAUUGCUGAUGUGGUGUCACAAACUAAUCAGAUUCUUUUUUUUUGAAUUUAUGCAUCCCAUCAUGGUUAAUAAAAAAAUAUUUUAAUUAUAUUUUU
This 449-nucleotide long non-coding RNA is filed under the name Ananas comosus (pineapple). Its description in RNAcentral is "long non-coding RNA (ACOM_LNC031850)". Lineage: Eukaryota; Viridiplantae; Streptophyta; Magnoliopsida; Poales; Bromeliaceae. The record is from RNAcentral.